Molecule: ribosomal RNA, 253 nt
Filed under: uncultured bacterium
Lineage: Bacteria
Description: partial 16S ribosomal RNA
Rfam family: Bacterial small subunit ribosomal RNA
Source: RNAcentral
UACGGAAGGGGACUAGCGUUGUUCGGAAUACUGGGCGUAAAGCGUGCGCAGGCGGUUAUGUAAGACAGUUGUGAAAUCCCCGGGCUCAACCUGGGAACUGCAUCUGUGACUGCAUAGCUAGAGUACGGUAGAGGGGGAUGGAAUUCCGCGUGUAGCAGUGAAAUGCGUAGAUAUGCGGAGGAACACCGAUGGCGAAGGCAAUCCCCUGGACCUGUACUGACGCUCAUGCACGAAAGCGUGGGGAGCAAACAGG